AACGAACGCUGGCGGCGUGCCUAACACAUGCAAGUCGAACGGAAUUUGAGAGCUUGCUCUUAAAUUUAGUGGCGCACGGGUGAGUAACGCGUAGAUAAUCUGCCUGACGAUCUGGGAUAACACUUCGAAAGAGGUGCUAAUACCGGAUAAGCCCACGGAGUCUUUGGAUUCUGCGGGAAAAGGGGGGGACCUUCGGGCCUUCUGUCGUCAGAUGAGUCUGCGUACCAUUAGCUAGUUGGUAGGGUAAUGGCCUACCAAGGCGACGAUGGUUAGCUGGUCUGAGGGGAUGAGCAGCCACACUGGAACUGAGACACGGUCCAGACUCCUACGGGAGGCAGCAGUGGGGAAUUUUGCGCAAUGGGCGAAAGCCUGACGCAGCAACGCCGCGUGAGUGAUGAAGGCUUUCGGGUCGUAAAGCUCUGUCGAGGGGAAAGAAGUGUACUUUGGCUAAUGUCCAUUGUACUUGACGGUACCCCUAAAGGAAGCACCGGCUAACUCCGUGCCAGCAGCCGCGGUAA
This 518-nucleotide ribosomal RNA is filed under the name uncultured bacterium. RNAcentral describes it as "partial 16S ribosomal RNA". It matches the Rfam family "Bacterial small subunit ribosomal RNA", at positions 29 to 523 of the family's 1533-position model. The record is from RNAcentral.